This 319-nucleotide unclassified non-coding RNA is filed under the name uncultured fungus. RNAcentral describes it as "partial contains small subunit ribosomal RNA, internal transcribed spacer 1, and 5.8S ribosomal RNA". The stretch from base 1 to 73 matches the Rfam family "Eukaryotic small subunit ribosomal RNA", at positions 1759 to 1831 of the family's 1831-position model. Lineage: Eukaryota; Fungi. The record is from RNAcentral.
GCAAACUUGGUCAUUUAGAGGAAGUAAAAGUCGUAACAAGGUUUCCGUAGGUGAACCUGCGGAAGGAUCAUUACCGAGUUAGGGUCUUCCAGGCCCGAUCUCCCAACCCUCUGUCAAACUUACCACUUGUUGCUUCGGCGGGUCCGUCCUGACGGACCGCCGGAGGGCCGUCAAACGUCCUCUGGCCCGCGCCCGCCGACAGCCCCCCUUUAUCAAACUUCUGAAUAAAUCUUGUUUUUACUCUGAGUUUAUCUUUAAAAUACAAGCAAAAACUUUCAACAACGGAUCUCUUGGUUCUGGCAUCGAUGAAGAACGCAGC